RNAcentral lists this ribosomal RNA (305 nucleotides) under uncultured bacterium. RNAcentral describes it as "bacterial SSU rRNA". It matches the Rfam family "Bacterial small subunit ribosomal RNA", at positions 334 to 636 of the family's 1533-position model. The record is from RNAcentral.
AUGCUCUACGGGGGGCAGCAGUGAGGAAUAUUGGUCAAUGGACGAGAGUCUGAACCAGCCAAGUAGCGUGAAGGAUGACUGCCCUAUGGGUUGUAAACUUCUUUUAUAUGGGAAUAAAACGUUCCACGUGUGGGAUUUUGUAUGUACCAUAUGAAUAAGGAUCGGCUAACUCCGUGCCAGCAGCCGCGGUAAUACGGAGGAUCCGAGCGUUAUCCGGAUUUAUUGGGUUUAAAGGGAGCGUAGGUGGAUUGUUAAGUCAGUUGUGAAAGUUUGCGGCUCAACCGUAAAAUUGCAGUUGAAACUGG